RNAcentral lists this long non-coding RNA (541 nucleotides) under Phoenix dactylifera (date palm). Its description in RNAcentral is "long non-coding RNA (PDAC_LNC018553)". Lineage: Eukaryota; Viridiplantae; Streptophyta; Magnoliopsida; Arecales; Arecaceae. The record is from RNAcentral.
GUUUUUUAUGCAAAAUCCGGAUACACUUUUCAUACAUUCUGCUGACCCUGAAUAGUUGUUUGUGAUAAGGCUUGAUGAUUAUGGUUGUGGUUUAUGUGAUCAUUCUAUAUGCAUUAUAUAAAAAGCAAAAUAUGAAUCUUUUUCUCCCAGGACUUGGAAAAUAACCUUGCAACGAAAGUGAUUCUUGACCUGGAUUCCUAUUAGCGUUGUGUUCGGAAAGAAUCUACAGAUGACAAUGAUCACAAAUUGUGGUCAAUAAUUUUGGAUUCUCUUUUAUGCUCUAACUAGUCAUUGGAUUCUCUUUACGGCUCCAAGGAGUCAUUGUGGAGAUUUUUAGGCCUGAGAAAAAGGUCUAACAUUGCACUUCUAGAAACUGCUUCUGCAAAUGUAUUAUACAUGAUAGAUUUUCAAAGUUAUCGAGAGCCCCCUUUGCUUUAUAAUCUUUAUGAAGCCCUAGGCUUAGUCGAGUUUUUUUUGUUUUCCCCAAAAGCAUUAAAUCAUGUCUGCAGGCCCUCUUUAUGUUCUUAAAACAAGUACUUGU